AUACGGAGGAUCCGAGCGUUAUCCGGAUUUAUUGGGUUUAAAGGGUGCGCAGGCGGCCAUUUAAGUCAGCGGUUAAAUCGUGGGGCUCAACCCCAUUCUGCCGUUGAUACUGGGUGGCUUGAUUGCGGUCGAGGUUGGCGGAAUUCGUUGUGUAGCGGUGAAAUGCGUAGAUAUGACGAAGAACACCGAUUGCGUAGGCAACUGACCUGCACGGAAAUGACGCUCAUGCACGAAAGUGCGGAGAUCGAACAGGAUUAGAUACCCUGGUAGUCCGCACAGUAAACGAUGAAUACUUGUUUUCGGCGAUAUAAUGUCGGAGCUAAAGCGAAAGCGAUAAGUAUUCCACCUGGGGAGUACGCCGGCAACGGUGAAACUGAAAGGAAUUGACGGGG
Molecule: ribosomal RNA, 392 nt
Filed under: uncultured bacterium
Lineage: Bacteria
Description: partial 16S ribosomal RNA
Rfam family: Bacterial small subunit ribosomal RNA
Source: RNAcentral